Molecule: long non-coding RNA, 522 nt
Organism: Xiphophorus couchianus (Monterrey platyfish)
Lineage: Eukaryota; Metazoa; Chordata; Actinopteri; Cyprinodontiformes; Poeciliidae
Exons: 2
Source: RefSeq, a predicted model, not a curated record
UCUGCAGUUUAGUUAAGAAGAGCAUUUAUGUUUAGAAUAUUACAUCAUUCUGACUAAUGGAAAAAAUUAAUUAAGAAAUGUGAGUUUGGAUUCAGUUAUCAAAAGGUAUUUAUUCUUACAAAAGAACCAUAUUGGAACAUCUAAUGAAUUUUUUUGAGUAUGAUCGUUUUAGUUUGUAAAACAGUCUAAUGUUAUAUCAGGUUGUAGUUUUGUAGGUUGUGAUUCAGUUUUAAAGUUAAACACUGAAUGACUACAUAUAUUGUAGAGGAACACAGUGAAAUGUUGUUUUGACCUGAAAAUAUUAAUAAUAACAGAAUCUUGUGAAAAAAGGUUCAUGUUUCCAUAGAAAGAAGUGAAAACAUGAAAGGCCACUGAAGAGACAAGAUGUAAGAAGAAGACAGAUAACUUUAAUUAAAGCCACAAAGACAAAGUAAUUUUUUGCUUGUAUCAUCAUACAUGUACCUGAGCAAAGAGAUGUUAUUAAUCACUCAUUUAAAAACAUACAAAGAAAAUAUGUUAGAA